Molecule: ribosomal RNA, 641 nt
Filed under: Trichosporon coremiiforme
Lineage: Eukaryota; Fungi; Basidiomycota; Tremellomycetes; Trichosporonales; Trichosporonaceae
Description: eukaryotic LSU rRNA
Rfam family: Eukaryotic large subunit ribosomal RNA
Source: RNAcentral
GCAUAUCAAUAAGCGGAGGAAAAGAAACUAACAAGGAUUCCCCUAGUAACGGCGAGUGAAAGCGGGAAAGAGCUCAAAUUUGAAAUCUGGCAGUCUUCGAUUGUCCGAGUUGUAAUCUAUAGAGGCGUUUUCCGUGCCGGACCGUGUCCAAGUCUCCUGGAAAGGAGUAUCAAAGAGGGUGAUAAUCCCGUACUUAACACGACCACCGGUGCUCUGUGAUACGUCUUCUACGAGUCGAGUUGUUUGGGAAUGCAGCUCAAAAUGGGUGGUGAAUUCCAUCUAAAGCUAAAUAUUGGCGAGAGACCGAUAGCGAACAAGUACCGUGAGGGAAAGAUGAAAAGCACUUUGGAAAGAGAGUUAAACAGUACGUGAAAUUGUUGAAAGGGAAACGAUUGAAGUCAGUCGUGUUCUUUGGAUUCAGCCAGUUCUGCUGGUCUACUUCCUUUGAACGGGUCAACAUCAGUUUUGUCCGGUGGAUAAAGGCAGUAGGAAUGUAGCUUCUCCGGAAGUGUUAUAGCCUAUUGUCACAUACACUGGGUGAGACUGAGGACUGCAGCUCGCCUUUAUGGCCGACCUUCGGGUACGUUCGAGCUUAGGAUGUUGACAUAAUGGCUUUAAACGACCCGUCUUGAAACACGGAC